Molecule: long non-coding RNA, 461 nt
Organism: Mizuhopecten yessoensis (Yesso scallop)
Lineage: Eukaryota; Metazoa; Mollusca; Bivalvia; Pectinida; Pectinidae
Exons: 3
Source: RefSeq, a predicted model, not a curated record
CAUCAACACCAGUGUUACUACUGUAGGGAAGUAUACAGGAGACUUGUAGAGAAUAACAUCAACACUGGUGUUACUACUGUAGGUAAGUAUACAGGAGACAUGUACAGAAUAACAACAACACUGGUGUUACUACUGUAGGUAAGUAUACAGGAGACUUGUAGAGAUUAACAUCAACACUGGAGUUACUACUGUAGGUGAGUAUACAGGAGACUUGUAGAGAAUAACAACAACACUGGUGUUACUACUGUAGGUAAGUAUACAGGAGACUUGUAGUGAAUAACAACAACACUGGUGUUACUACUGUAGGUAAGUAUACAGGAGACUUGUAGAGAAUGACAUCAACAUCAGUGUUACUACUGUAGGUAAGUAUACAGGAGACUUGUAGAGAUUAACAUCAACACUGGUGUUACUACUGUAGGUAAGUAUACAGGAGACUUAUGCUUGUAGACUUAUUAUAGCUU